RNAcentral lists this ribosomal RNA (497 nucleotides) under uncultured bacterium. RNAcentral describes it as "partial 16S ribosomal RNA". It matches the Rfam family "Bacterial small subunit ribosomal RNA", at positions 28 to 507 of the family's 1533-position model. The record is from RNAcentral.
GAUGAACGUUGGCGGCGUGCCUAAUACAUGCAAGUCGAGCGAACGGACGAGAAGCUUGCUUCUCUGAUGUUAGCGGCGGACGGGUGAGUAACACGUGGAUAACCUACCUAUAAGACUGGGAUAACUUCGGGAAACCGGAGCUAAUACCGGAUAAUAUUUUGAACCGCAUGGUUCAAAAGUGAAAGACGGUCUUGCUGUCACUUAUAGAUGGAUCCGCGCUGCAUUAGCUAGUUGGUAAGGUAACGGCUUACCAAGGCAACGAUGCAUAGCCGACCUGAGAGGGUGAUCGGCCACACUGGAACUGAGACACGGUCCAGACUCCUACGGGAGGCAGCAGUAGGGAAUCUUCCGCAAUGGGCGAAAGCCUGACGGAGCAACGCCGCGUGAGUGAUGAAGGUCUUCGGAUCGUAAAACUCUGUUAUUAGGGAAGAACAUAUGUGUAAAUAACUGUGCACAUCUUGACGGUACCUAAUCAGAAAGCCACGGCUAACUACGUG